RNAcentral lists this ribosomal RNA (1626 nucleotides) under Enterococcus durans. RNAcentral's name for it is "bacterial SSU rRNA". It matches the Rfam family "Bacterial small subunit ribosomal RNA". The record is from RNAcentral. Lineage: Bacteria; Bacillati; Bacillota; Bacilli; Lactobacillales; Enterococcaceae.
GGGGUUGGACCCGGACGGGGGGGUUUUUUUUUGGUUUUUAUUUUUUAAAUUUUGGGCUUUUUUGUUUGAUUUCUUUUUUGUUCCCUUUCUGGGCUUAAGUGGGGUGGGGCGGGGGCUUUUUUGUUAUGUAUUUUUUUUUUCCCCCCCCCCCCAACCAACCAGAGCUAACUUAUUUGCUUUUUCCACGGGAGUCCCCCCCAGAAAAGGAGGUGGGCACGGUUGAUCACCUGUGUACACCCCCUAAGAAGGGGAUACCCUGGAACUGGGUUUACACCUUAUAACAUAAGAACCCGUAUUGUUUUUAUUAAAACGCCUUUUGGGGUUCGGGGAGGGACGCCCCCCGCGUCCAUUACUUAGUUGGUAAGGAACCGCUUCCACAAGGCCUAAGGAUCAUAGCCCGCCUGGAGAGGGUUAUCCGCCUCCAUGGGGAAUGAGCCCCGGCCCCAAAUUUCUUGGGGGAGGCAGCAGUAGGGAAUCUUCGGCAAUGGAAGAAAGUCUGACCGAGCAACGCCGCGUGAGUGAAGAAGGUUUUCGGAUCGUAAAACUCUGUUGUUAGAGAAGAACAAGGAUGAGAGUAACUGUUCAUCCCUUGACGGUAUCUAACCAGAAAGCCACGGCUAACUACGUGCCAGCAGCCGCGGUAAUACGUAGGUGGCAAGCGUUGUCCGGAUUUAUUGGGCGUAAAGCGAGCGCAGGCGGUUUCUUAAGUCUGAUGUGAAAGCCCCCGGCUCAACCGGGGAGGGUCAUUGGAAACUGGGAGACUUGAGUGCAGAAGAGGAGAGUGGAAUUCCAUGUGUAGCGGUGAAAUGCGUAGAUAUAUGGAGGAACACCAGUGGCGAAGGCGGCUCUCUGGUCUGUAACUGACGCUGAGGCUCGAAAGCGUGGGGAGCAAACAGGAUUAGAUACCCUGGUAGUCCACGCCGUAAACGAUGAGUGCUAAGUGUUGGAGGGUUUCCGCCCUUCAGUGCUGCAGCUAACGCAUUAAGCACUCCGCCUGGGGAGUACGACCGCAAGGUUGAAACUCAAAGGAAUUGACGGGGGCCCGCACAAGCGGUGGAGCAUGUGGUUUAAUUCGAAGCAACGCGAAGAACCUUACCAGGUCUUGACAUCCUUUGACCACUCUAGAGAUAGAGCUUCCCCUUCGGGGGCAAAGUGACAGGUGGUGCAUGGUUGUCGUCAGCUCGUGUCGUGAGAUGUUGGGUUAAGUCCCGCAACGAGCGCAACCCUUAUUGUUAGUUGCCAUCAUUCAGUUGGGCACUCUAGCAAGACUGCCGGUGACAAACCGGAGGAAGGUGGGGAUGACGUCAAAUCAUCAUGCCCCUUAUGACCUGGGCUACACACGUGCUACAAUGGGAAGUACAACGAGUCGCGAAGUCGCGAGGCUAAGCUAAUCUCUUAAAGCUUCUCUCAGUUCGGAUUGUAGGCUGCAACUCGCCUACAUGAAGCCGGAAUCGCUAGUAAUCGCGGAUCAGCACGCCGCGGUGAAUACGUUCCCGGGCCUUGUACACACCGCCCGUCACACCACGAGAGUUUGUAACACCCGAAGUCGGUGAGGUAACCUUUUGGAGCCAGCCGCCUAAGGUGGGAUAGAUGAUUGGGGUGAAGUCGUACCAAGGUUGCCUGGGG